This 449-nucleotide ribosomal RNA is filed under the name uncultured bacterium. RNAcentral's name for it is "partial 16S ribosomal RNA". It matches the Rfam family "Bacterial small subunit ribosomal RNA", at positions 29 to 523 of the family's 1533-position model. The record is from RNAcentral.
AAUGAACGCUGGCGGCAUGCCUAACACAUGCAAGUCGAACGAAGGCUUCGGCCUUAGUGGCGCACGGGUGCGUAACGCGUGGGAAUCUACCCUUAGGUUCGGAAUAACUCAGAGAAAUUUGAGCUAAUACCGGAUAAUGUCUUCGGACCAAAGAUUUAUCGCCUUUGGAUGAGCCCGCGUAGGAUUAGCUAGUUGGUAAGGUAAAGGCUUACCAAGGCGACGAUCCUUAGCUGGUCUGAGAGGAUGAUCAGCCACACUGGGACUGAGACACGGCCCAGACUCCUACGGGAGGCAGCAGUGGGGAAUAUUGGACAAUGGGCGAAAGCCUGAUCCAGCAAUGCCGCGUGAGUGAUGAAGGCCUUCGGGUCGUAAAGCUCUUUUACCCGGGAUGAUAAUGACAGUACCGGGAGAAUAAGCUCCGGCUAACUCCGUGCCAGCCGCCGCAGUAA